CAUUAAGACUGAGACCUCCAAUAAU
Molecule: non-coding RNA, 25 nt
Filed under: Cricetulus griseus (Chinese hamster)
Lineage: Eukaryota; Metazoa; Chordata; Mammalia; Rodentia; Cricetidae
Source: RNAcentral